UACGUAGGGUGCAAGCGUUGUCCGGAAUUAUUGGGCGUAAAGAGCUCGUAGGCGGUUUGUCGCGUCUGCUGUGAAAACUCGGGGCUUAACCCCGGGCCUGCAGUGGGUACGGGCAGACUAGAGUGCGGUAGGGGAGACUGGAAUUUACGGUGUAGCAGUGAAAUGCGUAGAGAUCGUAAGGAAGACCAGUGGCGAAGGCGAGUCUCUGGAAAGCUGCUGACGCUGAGGCACGAAGGCCAGGGGAGCAAACGGG
RNAcentral lists this ribosomal RNA (253 nucleotides) under uncultured bacterium. Its description in RNAcentral is "partial 16S ribosomal RNA". It matches the Rfam family "Bacterial small subunit ribosomal RNA", at positions 524 to 776 of the family's 1533-position model. The record is from RNAcentral.